CAGUCGACGGUGAAGAGGAGCUUGCUUCUUGGAUCAGUGGCGAACGGGUGAGUAACACGUGAGUAACCUGCCCUUGACUCUGGGAUAACUGCUAGAAAUGGUAGCUAAUACCGGAUACGACCCUCGGCCGCAUGGUCAGGGGGUGGAAAGAAUUUUGGUCAAGGAUGGACUCGCGGCCUAUCAGGUAGUUGGUGAGGUAAUGGCUCACCAAGCCUACGACGGGUAGCCGGCCUGAGAGGGUGACCGGCCACACUGGGACUGAGACACGGCCCAGACUCCUACGGGAGGCAGCAGUGGGGAAUAUUGCACAAUGGGCGAAAGCCUGAUGCAGCAACGCCGCGUGAGGGACGACGGCCUUCGGGUUGUAAACCUCUUUUAGUAGGGAAGAAGCGAAAGUGACGGUACCUGCAGAAAAAGCACCGGCUAACUACGUGCCAGCAGCCGCGGUAAUACGUAGGGUGCGAGCGUUGUCCGGAAUUAUUGGGCGUAAAGAGCUCGUAGGCGGUUUGUCGCGUCUGCUGUGAAAUCCGGAGGCUCAACCUCCGGCCUGCAGUGGGUACGGGCAGACUAGAGUGCGGUAGGGGAGAUUGGAAUUCCUGGUGUAGCGGUGGAAUGCGCAGAUAUCAGGAGGAACACCAAUGGCGAAGGCAGAUCUCUGGGCCGUAACUGACGCUGAGGAGCGAAAGCAUGAGGAGCGAACAGGAUUAGA
This 709-nucleotide ribosomal RNA is filed under the name uncultured bacterium. Its description in RNAcentral is "bacterial SSU rRNA". It matches the Rfam family "Bacterial small subunit ribosomal RNA", at positions 59 to 782 of the family's 1533-position model. The record is from RNAcentral.